ACGAACGCUGGCGGCGUGCUUAACACAUGCAAGUCGAACGGAAAGGCCCUUCGGGGUACUCGAGUGGCGAACGGGUGAGUAACACGUGGGUGAUCUGCCCUGCACUUUGGGAUAAGCCUGGGAAACUGGGUCUAAUACCGAAUAUGAUCAUCGGCUUCAUGGUCGGUGGUGGAAAGCUUUUGCGGUGUGGGAUGGGCCCGCGGCCUAUCAGCUUGUUGGUGGGGUAAUGGCCUACCAAGGCGACGACGGGUAGCCGGCCUGAGAGGGUGACCGGCCACACUGGGACUGAGAUACGGCCCAGACUCCUACGGGAGGCAGCAGUGGGGAAUAUUGCACAAUGGGCGCAAGCCUGAUGCAGCGACGCCGCGUGGGGGAUGACGGCCUUCGGGUUGUAAACCUCUUUCAGCACAGACGAAGCGCAAGUGACGGUAGGUGCAGAAGAAGGACCGGCCAACUACGUG
This 461-nucleotide ribosomal RNA is filed under the name uncultured bacterium. RNAcentral's name for it is "partial 16S ribosomal RNA". It matches the Rfam family "Bacterial small subunit ribosomal RNA", at positions 29 to 507 of the family's 1533-position model. The record is from RNAcentral.